CCUACGGGAGGCUGCAGUGGGGAAUAUUGCACAAUGGUGGAAACCCUGAUGCAGCGACGCCGCGUGAGUGAAGAAGUAAUUCUUUAUGUAAAGCUCUAUCAGUAGGGAAGAAAAAGACGGUACCUGAGUUAGAAGCUCCGGCUAACAACGUGCCAGCAGCCGCGGUAAUACGGAGGGGGCAAGCGUUAUCCGGAUUUACUGGGUGUAAAGGGGGCGUAGACGGCAGUGCAAGUCUGGAGUGAAAGGCGGGGGCUCAACCCCCGGACUGCUCUGGAAACUGUACGGCUGGAGUGCAGGAGAGGUAAGUGGAAUUCCUGGUGUAGCGGUGAAAUGCGUAGAUAUUAGGAGGAACACCAGUGGCGAAGGCGGCUUACUGGACUGUAACUGACGUUGAGGCUCGAAAGCGUGGGGAGCAAACAGGAUUAGAUACCCGAGUAGUC
This 440-nucleotide ribosomal RNA is filed under the name uncultured bacterium. Its description in RNAcentral is "partial 16S ribosomal RNA". It matches the Rfam family "Bacterial small subunit ribosomal RNA", at positions 338 to 795 of the family's 1533-position model. The record is from RNAcentral.